This 324-nucleotide ribosomal RNA is filed under the name uncultured eukaryote. RNAcentral's name for it is "partial 18S ribosomal RNA". It matches the Rfam family "Eukaryotic small subunit ribosomal RNA", at positions 1470 to 1796 of the family's 1831-position model. The record is from RNAcentral.
CCCUUAGAUGCUCUGGGCCGCACGCGCGCUACACUGGUCGAUGCAACGAGUUUCUUUCCUUGGCCGACAGGCCUGGGCAAUCUUUGAACAUCGAUCGUGAUCGGGAUAGAUUCUUGUAAUUUUUGAUCUUAAACGAGGAAUUCCUAGUAAACGCAAGUCAUCAGCUUGCAUUGAUUACGUCCCUACCCUUUGUACACACCGCCCGUCGCACCUACCGAUUGAAUGGUCCGGUGAAAUCUCCGGACUGGCGUGAGUCGGAGCAAUCUGACAAACGCCGGAAAGUUGAUUAAACCUUACCAUUUAGAGGAAGGUGAAGUCGUAACA